This 420-nucleotide ribosomal RNA is filed under the name uncultured archaeon. Its description in RNAcentral is "partial 16S ribosomal RNA". It matches the Rfam family "Archaeal small subunit ribosomal RNA", at positions 323 to 746 of the family's 1478-position model. The record is from RNAcentral.
CUACGGGGGGCUGCAGUUAAGAAUAAUCUACAAUGCGCGAAAGCGUGAUAGUUUGAGCCAGAGUGAUUCUCAAUGAGAAUCUUUUGCCGAAUGUAAAAAGUUCGGCGAAUAAGGACUGGGUAAGACGAGUGCCAGCCGCCGCGGUAAUACUCGCGGUCCAAGUCGCAGCCAUUUUUAUUGGGUCUAAAACAUCCGUAGCUUGCUUGAUAAGUCCCUUGUGAAAUCCUACGUCUUAAACGUAGGGCGGGCAAGGGGUACUGUCAAGCUAGAGACUGGGAGACGUAAGCAGUACGUUCGAAGUAUCGGUAAAAUGAGUUAAUCUCGGACGGACUCACAAUAGCGAAGGCAGCUUACGAGAACAGUUCUGACAGUAAGGGAUGAAAGCUAGGGGCGCAAAACGGAUUAGAUACCCCAGUAGUC